GGCCGACCAACAUCUAGUAUGGUGCUGAUUGUGGGCCGUCCCACAUUAGUGUGGGCGUGGGUACAUGUAGGCACCAAGUUAGACGCCAAUCCUUUCUCUACUACGAGUCCUUCUUUGAUAAGUUAUGGACUGAUUCAAAGCUUAUUUGAAUUAGGAGUCCUAAUCUUAUGGGUUAUAGAGAAUCAUCUAUAAAUAGAGAAGGUCUCUACCUAUGAUGCAUAGCAAUCAGAUUGUGAGAAAGAGAGAAAGAGAGAGAGAGAGGCGUGAGAGAGAUUGUGGGCGUCAUCGGGCGUCACCCUUGGGCAUCCUCCUUCUUGCUGCCCCUCCUCUUCCUUGCCGUGGACUCUAUUGUGGGCAUCUUAUUGCUGGUGUGAGAUGUCACACUAGUGCCUCUCUUUCCUCUCUUGGUGACCUUGCGAAGGUACUUCUAUCCGAGACUUCAUCCUAUUUUUCUGCGGAGUUUGGCAUGCACGCGAAGUAAAGGACCUGCAGAUCCAAGCCUACAUGAGGACUUGAAUCCAGAUUGCAGGGAUUUGAUUCCUAUUCUGCUGCAAUCCAGAUAAAGAUUUGAUCUUUAUUUAAUUCAAUAUAUAAAAAAUUUUUAGAUGCAAUCCUGGUUAUCCACUAGAAACAGACUUUCUUUCGCUUCAGUAAUGAAUGAAAAUAAUGAAGAAAAGAUCACACAAUCACAAACACAAUACUUUUAUAGUGGUUUGGUGCAAAACUCGACACCUACAUCCACUCGUCAAGUAAACCACUUGAAAAUUCAACUAUAAUCACUCAAUUGAUUACAGUUCGAUUGUUUUCUUUGGGUUCAUAAUCUAAUCCAAUUGAUUUUGACCUAGGCUCACCAACCACAACCUUUACAAUGAUUAUUUUUUUAGGCUAACAAUCAAUCUCGAUUGAUUUUACCCUCAGGUCACCAAUCAAACCAAUACAAUAUCCAACUCAAGGCUUGGACCAACCUAAGUUUCUCACCCCAAGAAACUUGAAAACAAAAAAUACAAUCACAAUGAAUAUAAGAUUAAAAGAGUUUGGAAAUAAAAAUACUAUAAAGCCUAAGAGAAGAGAAUCGAGUUGAAAGCUUGUUGGCUUAACUCUUUCCUUGAAUGCUUGAAGAAAGUUGGUUAAGUUCUUCAAUGCUUGCAACCUAUCUUCCUUUACUUUGAGAAGGAUUGGAAGGAUAAAAAACAACUUAAAAUUACUCCACAAUAAUGGCUC
Molecule: long non-coding RNA, 1221 nt
Filed under: Elaeis guineensis (African oil palm)
Lineage: Eukaryota; Viridiplantae; Streptophyta; Magnoliopsida; Arecales; Arecaceae
Description: long non-coding RNA (EGUI_LNC046088)
Source: RNAcentral